AUUGAACGCUGGCGGAAUGCUUUACACAUGCAAGUCGAACGGCAGCACGGGGGCAACCCUGGUGGCGAGUGGCGAACGGGUGAGUAAUGCAUCGGAACGUACCCAAUCGUGGGGGAUAACGUGGCGAAAGUCACGCUAAUACCGCAUACGUCCUGAGGGAGAAAGCAGGGGAUCGCAAGACCUUGCGCGAUUGGAGCGGCCGAUGUCUGAUUAGCUAGUUGGUGGGGUAAAAGCCUACCAAGGCGACGAUCAGUAGCUGGUCUGAGAGGAUGAUCAGCCACACUGGGACUGAGACACGGCCCAGACUCCUACGGGAGGCAGCAGU
Molecule: ribosomal RNA, 325 nt
Filed under: uncultured bacterium
Lineage: Bacteria
Description: bacterial SSU rRNA
Rfam family: Bacterial small subunit ribosomal RNA
Source: RNAcentral